Long non-coding RNA from Spinacia oleracea (spinach), 1346 nucleotides. RefSeq lists it as uncharacterized. The transcript has 3 exons. Lineage: Eukaryota; Viridiplantae; Streptophyta; Magnoliopsida; Caryophyllales; Amaranthaceae. The record is from RefSeq and is a predicted model, not a curated record.
AAAGUAUAUUCCUUACUCUUUUUAUGGAUAAAAUGCUCAAACCCCUCUCUAGUCUAUUGUGCACGCAAAUGAUACAAAAGUCUUUAAAUUAGAGUUAUCUCAUAAUUUGACCCAAACGUGCAAAUGACACAAAAGUCUUUAAAUAGAGUUAUCUCCUUACCAGUCGAUAAUUUAUACGAAAGUAUCGCUUUUCUAGCUCUUUCACACUAAAAAAUACGACAAUAUUUUUGUUUUUAGGAUUGUCAAAUUCUUUUUACCGUUUGAAAAUUGAAAUUUAUUUGCUCUUAUUGAAAUUAACUACUCCCUCUGUUCUUAAAUAUUAGUCACUUUACCAAUUGAGGUUGGCAUGAGUGGUUAAGGGUCUCUUGCUCCUUAACAAAGGUCUCGAGUUCGAGCCUUGGGAAUGGAAAAAAUCUCAACUGGGAGGGAUGAUGCCCAUCGAAUUAUUAAUAUAUAGAUACCUAUCUACGCAUCUAUGCGUGCAUACUAGAUAAAACGACGUCGUUUCUGGAUUAAAGACCACCUCCAUCAUAAUAUCACCCAUAAAUUCAGCAUAUACCCAUUUUCUCUCUCCUCUGACCUCUCACCAUCUUCUCUCUCAUUAACUCCAUUUUAUUUCUCCAUUUUUUUUACUGAUAUGGCAAAUCACCGGCGGCGCCACCACCACCUCCAUCAUAAUAUCAUCAGCUACAUUGAUUUUCUCGGUGGUUUCUCCCAGCAAUUACCUCCAUCGUCGGCGUUAUGUUUCUAUGUUUCUUCGUCCUUUCCUUUUUCGCUCCUCGUCCUUCUCGCCUCCUUCACCGUGGUCGCACUCGCAGCUAGCUCAUCCUCCUCAUCUGUCAGAUGUUCUUGAGCUUCUGGAGCUGAUUCAUCGUCGGCGAUUUAUAAAUCUCAUAGAUGCGUGAAUUACCUCAGGAAGCACAAUUUUAGUUUUGUAAAGAAGCCAAAAAAGAUGAUGCAGAGGAUGCAAUGAUCUAAUUUUGUGUUCAGUUGCUUUAUGGUUCGUGCUCAAGUACACAUGGAAGGUAAAUGUUAAUAAGAAUGCGGCAACGAAAGAAAAAAAAAUUGAUUUAGAAAUGGAAGAUAUGGUAUGAAGAGAUGUUGUAAGAAUUGAAGAAGAAUUGAAGGCAGAAGCAACAAGAAAAGAAUCUGGAAAUAAGGUCGCAGAUAGAAAGAGAAAAGAGACCGAUGUACAUAAAAAGUGAAAGCCGAAAGGAAGGAAGCAGAAAAAUUAGAAGCAUAUAGAAAGAGAAAAUUGGAAGUAGAAGUAAAUAAAUGAAAUGUUCAUUUUUUAAACAUGAAUGUUCAUUUGUGUGUUUUUUAUGUGUGCUUCUUGUAUCUUACUC